GGUCCCAUAGCUUAGCUGGUAGAGCACCUGACUCUUAAUCAGGGGGUCGAAGGUUCGAACCCUUCUGGGAUCA
RNAcentral lists this transfer RNA (73 nucleotides) under Bacteroidales bacterium. RNAcentral's name for it is "tRNA-Lys". It matches the Rfam family "tRNA". Rfam says of the family: Transfer RNA (tRNA) molecules are approximately 80 nucleotides in length. Their secondary structure includes four short double-helical elements and three loops (D, anti-codon, and T loops). Further hydrogen bonds mediate the characteristic L-shaped molecular structure. tRNAs have two regions of fundamental functional importance: the anti-codon, which is responsible for specific mRNA codon recognition, and the 3' end, to which the tRNAs corresponding amino acid is attached (by aminoacyl-tRNA synthetases). tRNAs cope with the degeneracy of the genetic code in two manners: having more than one tRNA (with a specific anti-codon) for a particular amino acid; and 'wobble' base-pairing, i.e. permitting non-standard base-pairing at the 3rd anti-codon position. Lineage: Bacteria; Pseudomonadati; Bacteroidota; Bacteroidia; Bacteroidales. The record is from RNAcentral.